AUUGAACGCUGGCGGCAUGCUUUACACAUGCAAGUCGAACGGUAACAGGUUAAGCUGACGAGUGGCGAACGGGUGAGUAAUGCAUCGGAACGUGCCCGAUCGUGGGGGAUAACGCAGCGAAAGCUGCGCUAAUACCGCAUACGAUCUGAGGAUGAAAGCGGGGGACCGUAAGGCCUCGCGCGACCGGAGCGGCCGAUGUCAGAUUAGGUAGUUGGUGGGGUAAAGGCUCACCAAGCCAACGAUCUGUAGCUGGUCUGAGAGGACGACCAGCAACACUGGGACUGAGACACGGCCCAGACUCCUACGGGAGGCAGCAGUGGGGAAUUUUGGACAAUGGGCGAAAGCCUGAUCCAGCAAUGCCGCGUGCAGGAAGAAGGCCUUCGGGUUGUAAACUGCUUUUGUACGGAGCGAAAAGGCUCUCUCUAAUACAGGGGGCUCAUGACGGUACCGUAAGAAUAAGCACCGGCUAACUACGUGCCAGCCGCCGCAGUAA
This 493-nucleotide ribosomal RNA is filed under the name uncultured bacterium. RNAcentral describes it as "partial 16S ribosomal RNA". It matches the Rfam family "Bacterial small subunit ribosomal RNA", at positions 29 to 523 of the family's 1533-position model. The record is from RNAcentral.